Molecule: ribosomal RNA, 467 nt
Filed under: uncultured bacterium
Lineage: Bacteria
Description: partial 16S ribosomal RNA
Rfam family: Bacterial small subunit ribosomal RNA
Source: RNAcentral
GACGAACGCUGGCGGCGUGCUUAACACAUGCAAGUCGAACGGAAAGGCCCUGCUUUUGUGGGGUGCUCGAGUGGCGAACGGGUGAGUAACACGUGAGUAACCUGCCCUUGACUUUGGGAUAACUUCAGGAAACUGGGGCUAAUACCGGAUAGGAGCUCCUGCUGCAUGGUGGGGGUUGGAAAGUUUCGGCGGUUGGGGAUGGACUCGCGGCUUAUCAGCUUGUUGUGGGGUAGUGGCUUACCAAGGCUUUGACGGGUAGCCGGCCUGAGAGGGUGACCGGCCACAUUGGGACUGAGAUACGGCCCAGACUCCUACGGGAGGCAGCAGUGGGGAAUAUUGCACAAUGGGCGGAAGCCUGAUGCAGCAACGCCGCGUGCGGGAUGACGGCCUUCGGGUUGUAAACCGCUUUCGCCUGUGACGAAGCGUGAGUGACGGUAAUGGUUAAAGAAGCACCGGCUAACUACGUG